This 18-nucleotide unclassified non-coding RNA is filed under the name Chlamydomonas reinhardtii. Its description in RNAcentral is "small RNA Cre_0459". The record is from RNAcentral. Lineage: Eukaryota; Viridiplantae; Chlorophyta; Chlorophyceae; Chlamydomonadales; Chlamydomonadaceae.
AGCAGGCGGCCGGGCGUU